AACGGGGCAACAGGGGCAACACGGGCAACAGGUCAAAAGGGCAACAUGGGCAACAAGGGCAACAUGGGACACGGGGCAACAGGGCAACAUGGGCACCAUGGGCAAAAAGGGGAACAAAGGCAACAUGGGCAACAUGGCAACAUGGCAACAUGGGCAAGAAGGAAAAUGAGCAACGAUAAAAGUAUUAUUGAGAGAGGUUAAAAGUGCAAUGGAGGGUUUAGAAAGCGAGUGAUAUUCGAAAAUUCUCUGAAAUUGUACGAGCAGUUUCAAUCAAACAAUUAGCAACUGCUUGCGCUUUCACGCGAUUUCUUCAUUUUACUAAGAACAAGUACGCCCAUAUUCCUAAGAUUUGCACUGCAGUCCUAGGAACUGUUAUCAAAUUAUCUUUUGUUAAUUAGACAACUAAAAAUACCAAAGUCUGCUUUUCCUAAAAAUAAAUUCACCUUGUGCAAAUUUUGCACACAAACUAUAGUUCUAUUGAGGAACACUUCUUAUGUACACAUACAUGAAAAAAUUUGUUAAACUUGACACUUCAACUGAAACUGAAAGUAAUCAAAGGCCCUUCUAACAACCUCGUGUCACUUAUUUUAGAGUGCCAAGAACUCCACUGCUGCACUAAAACAGUGUAACCCAAGUGCAUUGCUAACUAGAGAAAACAGGCGCACAUUUUCACUCUCGAUUAGGCUCGAUCUGGCCCGAUCUGAUCUUUGCUGAAUAUUAAUUUUUGUAAUUUAUACCUGUUUUCUUAUUUUCGGAAAGUGCGCAUUAGAUGUUAUUUUUUUAUCGGCUCAUUAUGAUCCCCCAAUUGUUCGCGUGUCGGGGUUGAAUUCAAGUAUUUAAGACCCUUUAUCAAAGGGCUUCUAAAAACAGAUUGUGAAUCAAUGUCUACUUCAGGAAGUUUAAACGGCUCUGUAUUAAAAUGAAGCGAACUUUAAUCUUAAAUCAUUUGUUAGUUACUUUAUUUCAUGGGUUGAAAUAAUAUUGAUACCAAACAAAUCUAAAACCAACCAGCGAGGAUAAAUUCCAGGUGAUUCGUCUUCGAGUGAUACAAUUUGUUUCCUUAUUUAACGCAAGUAGCAUGAUGCGAUGAUAAGCUCUCGUGCUAUAAAUCAUGUAAUGUUUCACCAUUUGAUCUGGCCUGAUCUGUCCCAUGUUGAUAUAUGUGCAGGAGAUAUUGAUCAUAUCAUAAAAUGAAUUCUUGUGAUUUAUACCCUAAGUUAUACCUGUUUGCUUAUUCCCUGAAAAUGCACUCUUAAUCGGUGCAUUGUGAUCUCUGAACUUUUCUGAUGUCAGCCCAUGGAAUCUGAAUUGCGCGACAGAAACUCGUCUAAUCGGGUCAAAUCAGGCCGAAUUUUACUUGUAGGGUUAUACACUCUAACAGUAGUUGUGUUAUUAUUCUUAAAAAGUAUCUUGUUGCAGAUAAAAUAAAACCCAGAAUUUUACAGUUUAGUAAUAUAUGGGACCAAUUCUCUCAUGACUUUUACGGGAUCUUAAAUUUUAUGAAACUAAAAAGUAACAAGCAUUGAUAAUUUUCUUGUUUUGAACUAUGACCACGUCACUGGCGUACAAACCAGCACAAUGAUAACUGCGAUCGAAUUCGCCUGUUUUGUUAGCUUUGUAACAAUUGGUCUUAUAAAACGAAAGCAGCAAAGCUAAUUUCUGACCGGUCAUGAACCGUUAACUUACUCACCGAAAUUUCCUAAACAUACGAAUUCAAAGAUUCUGUUUCUGCUCAUUCUCAAAAUACAUCGACCUCGUACAAAUUUUCCUUAAGACAACAAUUGUCUUGAAAUGCUUCUCAUGGUGAAGCUCUACACAAAAUAUUACUUAAAUUCGACAUUCCAAAUUCUUCACCACAGCAGACAGGGUGUUUAUUCUAAAAAAAAAAUGUGCUGGUGAAAUGCCACUGAAAUUCUGGUAUUCCGAAAAAUGAACGACUUUGUAAGCAGAGCAGACUGGGAAAACGCAAGGGUCAACUAGACAUCUAAAAUUUCGUUUCUCUAAAUUUAGCAGCCCGUAAAAACGAGAAUUUAUUUCUCUUCCCUUACAAAAAUAACCCUAUUUUAUUUCUACUUUAUGGCUAUUAUAAUGCUAUCACAUCUAUUUUUGUCCUAUUUUAUCCUUGCAAAUGUCUAUUUUAUUCCUAGUUUACCAGACGGAGAAAAUAGGCUUCAAUUUUAUUUGUGUUUUACAUUUAUCUUAAACCUAUUUUUAAGCAUGACAGACAAAGUGUGGUAUUUUAUUUCUAUUUUUUCAUAACAUCCUGAAAAAUAGCGCGCAAAAUAGGCUGUUUUAAACCUAUGUUACAUUCUUAGAUCAGUGUUCCUCUAUAAAACAGUGAUAAAAUAGACUGUUUAAUCUCUAUUUUCCUUUGGGUAGCAAAGGUAAUGACUUGCUCCUUUGCAAAAUAGACAUAAAACAGGCUAUGAAAAUCCUAUUUUAUCUGAGUCAGCUUUGACUAAUGACAAAAUAGCUUUAAAACACACUAUUUUAUCCCUGUUUAUGGCCGUUGGUUUAACCCCUGUCUCUUUCAUUGCAAAAUAUAAAUAAAAUAGUCUGUUUUAAUUCUAUUUUAUCCCGGGCACCCAAAAUGUUUUUAGAAAUGGCAAGGUGCAUGUACGUGUAUUUGUGAUGAAAUAUUAUAUCGUCUUUUGUAUUAUUUGUCAAUUCAAGAUUCACUAAAUUGUUACCGUGUAAAUAGUAAUUUUCAGGCUGCAAAAACUUCAACGAUGAAUCUACAAUUCCAUCAGCAAUGUUCAAACAACAGUAUAUGGGGGCUUAAUAAUCAUUUAAUGAGUUUGAUUGUGGAAAUCCGGCAUUUGAGAAGCUUGAAUCAACUGUUUAUGUUGACAUUCAGUUUUCCUUUAGAAACAUACAUAACAAAACAGUUAGUUUACCUUUAGGAACACAGAAGGGUGAAUGAAAAAGAAAUGACAAUCACAUGCCACAUGAGACUUCUUCAUAAACAGUCCCAUGCAUAUGCUUCUCACAAGUAGAUAUUUUUAACUCUGUAAGAGUAAAAUUACUUAGGAUAAUUAUACCCUUCUUCAAAUGAUGUCUGAACACUUUCCAGCCUGUGUCAGGCCUCUAAAUUCAGUAAAAAGCCGCCGAGUUUCUUCUGUGGAAUGCAUGAACCGCCAUCUUGGAUUUGAAUGUUGAUAAGACCCUAGGAACGAGUUUGCUAUAACCCAUGAUGCAAUGCUCUAAGAAAGGCGCGCGUUUCAACGGUCACUGAACGAUUGAAAGAUUGAAGAUGUUUGAAGAUGUUUGAAAGCCACAAAAUCUGGAUCUUUUGGCUCUGCAAGAGAUCUUAUUGAAGCAGAAAAGCUUGAAGUAUAGAAUCACUCACAGAACUAUGUGGUUGAAAAGCUAAGUGAAAAACAAUUCACAAACAUGAGUGAUUACACUUUCACAGUUAUUUCUGUCAUUAUCUGUUGGACCUCAUGGAAAAUGGGCUGUAUAGUCUUGACUUGAGUGUGAAACUAAUUGCAACUUUGAAUUUUAAACAAAGAAGUCAGUGUAAGCUUAAAUCUGUAUGACACAUAAAGAAACCCUUCAAUUUUAGAAAAUAAAAUAAAUUAUGAACGGAAACAAGAUGUUCCAGCUGGUCUUUAAUCUGGUGUAAGCUCUACCCUUGGCUGCUGGACAAAAAUCUUAGUGAUAAUUUUUACAAG
Orbicella faveolata is the source of this 3674-nucleotide long non-coding RNA. RefSeq lists it as uncharacterized. NCBI's taxonomy places the organism in Eukaryota, Metazoa, Cnidaria, Anthozoa, Scleractinia, Merulinidae. The record is from RefSeq and is a predicted model, not a curated record.